This 587-nucleotide ribosomal RNA is filed under the name uncultured bacterium. RNAcentral's name for it is "bacterial SSU rRNA". It matches the Rfam family "Bacterial small subunit ribosomal RNA", at positions 338 to 916 of the family's 1533-position model. The record is from RNAcentral.
CCUACGGGAGGCAGCAGUGGGGAAUUGUUCGCAAUGGGCGCAAGCCUGACGACGCAACGCCGCGUGGAGGAUGAAGACCUUCGGGUCGUAAACUCCUUUCGAUCGAGACGAAUGUUUUCCGGGUGAACAAUCCGGAAAAGUGACGGUACCGAGAGAAGAAGCCCCGGCUAACUCUGUGCCAGCAGCCGCGGUAAUACAGGGGGGGCAAGCGUUGUUCGGAAUUACUGGGCGUAAAGGGCUUGUAGGUGGCCAACUAAGUCAGACGUGAAAUCCCUCAGCUUAACUGGGGAACUGCGUCUGAUACUGGAUGGCUUGAGUUUGGGAGAGGGAUGCGGAAUUCCAGGUGUAGCGGUGAAAUGCGUAGAUAUCUGGAGGAACACCGGUGGCGAAGGCGGCAUCCUGGACCAACACUGACACUGAGGAGCGAAAGCCAGGGGAGCAAACGGGAUUAGAUACCCCGGUAGUCCUGGCCCUAAACGAUGAAUGCUUGGUGUGGCGGGUAUCGAUCCCUGCCGUGCCGAAGCUAACGCAUUAAGCAUUCCGCCUGGGGAGUACGGUCGCAAGGCUGAAACUCAAAGGAUUGACGG